GGUAUUAUUAUUAUAAGUAAAGUAUUUUAAUUUUAUUUAAAUGGACGUGGGUUCGAGUCCCACCAGCUCCU
This 71-nucleotide transfer RNA is filed under the name Laminaria solidungula. RNAcentral describes it as "tRNA-Lys". It matches the Rfam family "tRNA". From Rfam's summary of the family: Transfer RNA (tRNA) molecules are approximately 80 nucleotides in length. Their secondary structure includes four short double-helical elements and three loops (D, anti-codon, and T loops). Lineage: Eukaryota; Phaeophyceae; Laminariales; Laminariaceae. The record is from RNAcentral.